GUGCUCACUUCGGCAGCACAUAUACUAAAAUUGGAACAAUACAGAAAAGAUUAGCAUGUCCCCUGCACAAGGAUAACACACAAAUUUGUGAAGUGUUCCAUAUUAAA
Molecule: small nuclear RNA, 107 nt
Organism: Otolemur garnettii (small-eared galago)
Lineage: Eukaryota; Metazoa; Chordata; Mammalia; Primates; Galagidae
Source: Ensembl